This 253-nucleotide ribosomal RNA is filed under the name uncultured bacterium. Its description in RNAcentral is "partial 16S ribosomal RNA". It matches the Rfam family "Bacterial small subunit ribosomal RNA", at positions 524 to 776 of the family's 1533-position model. The record is from RNAcentral.
UACGUAGGUGGCAAGCGUUAUCCGGAUUUAUUGGGCGUAAAGGGAACGCAGGCGGUCUUUUAAGUCUGAUGUGAAAGCCUUCGGCUUAACCGGAGUAGUGCAUUGGAAACUGGGAGACUUGAGUGCAGAAGAGGAGAGUGGAAUUCCAUGUGUAGCGGUGAAAUGCGUAGAUAUAUGGAGGAACAUCGGUGGCGAAAGCGGCUCUCUGGCCUGUAACUGACACUGAGGCUCGAAAGCGUGGGGAGCAAACAGG